Molecule: ribosomal RNA, 497 nt
Filed under: uncultured bacterium
Lineage: Bacteria
Description: partial 16S ribosomal RNA
Rfam family: Bacterial small subunit ribosomal RNA
Source: RNAcentral
GAUGAACGCUGGCGGCGUGCCUAAUACAUGCAAGUCGAGCGAACGGACGAGAAGCUUGCUUUUCUGAUGUUAGCGGCGGACGGGUGAGUAACACGUGGAUAACCUACCUAUAAGACUGGGAUAACUUCGGGAAACCGGAGCUAAUACCGGAUAAUAUUUUGAACCGCAUGGUUCAAAAGUGAAAGACGGUCUUGCUGUCACUUAUAGAUGGAUCCGCGCUGCAUUAGCUAGUUGGUAAGGUAACGGCUUACCAAGGCAACGAUGCAUAGCCGACCUGAGAGGGUGAUCAGCCACACUGGAACUGAGACACGGUCCAGACUCCUACGGGAGGCAGCAGUAGGGAAUCUUUCGCCAUGGGCGAAAGCCUGAUGGAGCCACGCCGCGUGAGUGAAGAAGGUCUUCGGAUUGUAAAACUCUUUUAAUAGGGAAGAACAUAUGUGUAAGUAACUGUGCACAUCUUGACGGUACCUAAUCAGAAAGCCACGGCUAACUACGUG